Molecule: ribosomal RNA, 253 nt
Filed under: uncultured bacterium
Lineage: Bacteria
Description: partial 16S ribosomal RNA
Rfam family: Bacterial small subunit ribosomal RNA
Source: RNAcentral
UACGUAGGUGGCAAGCGUUGUCCGGAUUUACUGGGCGUAAAGAGCGCGCAGGCGGUCGGAUCAGUCGAAUGUGAAAGCCCCCGGCUCAACUGGGGAGGGUCAUUCGAUACUGUCCGACUCGAAGGCAGGAGAGGGAAGCGGAAUUCCCGGUGUAGUGGUGAAAUGCGUAGAUAUCGGGAGGAACACCAGUGGCGAAGGCGGCUUUCUGGCCUGUUCUUGACGCUGAGACGCGAAAGCGUGGGGAGCAAACAGG